CCCUCAUUUCCAUCUGUGAAGAAAUCCUUUGAGCUCUCUUGUCAAAAUAGAUCCAGAAUCUGACAUCUGACGAUGGGAGACAUUCAUCUCAGGGAAAAGCAUAGGUGCCCCUUCUGAGCAGUUUGUCAGAUUCGAUCUCAGGGAUACUGUUGAGUCCUGCAGAGGAUCGUGUUUCCCUCUUUACAUUUUGGCAGCUAGAAAACUUAAAUCCACAUCUGUGGCCAACUAGUGCUCAAUGGCUUGCUCUUUGUGUUCAAGUUCGUCAUCUGACUGGACUUCCUCAUUUUAAUUUGGACUUCAUUUCUUCAUCCAAUAUGUUUUUCAGAAGUUUGAAUUCUCUGUAUUGAUGUGUUUUGUGAGCUGUGUAUCUCCUCCGGUCCCAGCCCAGCAAUGGCUUCUGAUCUCACUCAGAGUAAAAGCCCAGUCCUUGUCCGGGAGACGGAUGAAGUUGAAAGCCAUCAUUCUCAGCAAACUAACACAGGAACAGAAAACCAAACACCACAUGUUCUCACUCAUAAGUGGGAGUUGAAAAAUGAGAAUACAUGGACACAAGGAGGGGAACAUCAUUCACCGGGGCCUGUCGAGGGGUGGAGGGCAAGGGGAGGGAGAGCAUUAGGUUGAAUACCUAAUGCAUGUGGGGCUUGAAACCUAGAUGAUGGGUUGAUGGGUGCAGCAAACCAUCAUGGCACAUGUAUAACUAUGAAACAAACCUUCACAUUCUACAUAUGUAUCCCAGAACUUAAAGUAAAAUAAAAAACUCUACACUUUAACUUAAUCCCCAUGCUUUUUAACUUUUUGUUGUUUCUUUUCUAUCUUUUUGUAUUAUGUUUUGUAAAGUUAUAGUUAUUAUUUCAAUUGGUUCAUUUUUUAGUCUUUCUACUUAAGAGUUUCCAUGCCAACAGAGAGCCA
This 909-nucleotide long non-coding RNA is filed under the name Homo sapiens (human). RNAcentral describes it as "HSALNT0283833". Lineage: Eukaryota; Metazoa; Chordata; Mammalia; Primates; Hominidae. The record is from RNAcentral.